Molecule: long non-coding RNA, 627 nt
Organism: Carassius carassius (crucian carp)
Lineage: Eukaryota; Metazoa; Chordata; Actinopteri; Cypriniformes; Cyprinidae
Exons: 2
Source: RefSeq, a predicted model, not a curated record
CGGUACGUUAGCUGUAGUUCUGCUCGCUGGAGGCUCCGGGGGAAAGGGCGGGACUGCCCAUACCGAAACAAUUCUGCACCAUUCUCAACAGACCUCUGAUAAGGUACACGAUUCAAGGGUUUGAGAGGCCUCAGGUGCGAUACGUCCUUUGGUGUCCACGGUCAUUGCGACCUCGUCAGUGGGCUACCUGGACCACUCGGUGGAGAGAACAAAGUACCGCACCAGUGAAAUGCCUCAAGGAUUUCUUAUUAUUAUUAUUAUUAUUAUUUUCCAGGCCUACCAACGGGUAUUAGCAAACCAGACACAUUUAUUGAUUAGAAUAAACCUCAGAGUUAAUAUUCAAAGUACAUUAGUACUAACUACAUAUCUCAAUUUCUGUUGUAUACAUUUUUAUAAAAUCAAACAAAGAAAUGUGUUCAAAUCUUGGACCAACUUUUGUUCAUUGUCCCUGAGAUUUGCAUAAACCCACAGGUUCUUCUGCUCUAAGGCACUGUGACUUUUAUUAUUAUUCCCAUGUGUAAUUAGUUCUGUGUCAAAAUAAUAAAUCAUAAUUGUUUAGUCUGGCUCAAACAAUGCAUUCACAGAAAUGCUGCUUUCUCAUCCAGACUAACAAAGUUUCUCAUGGAG